This 260-nucleotide ribosomal RNA is filed under the name uncultured bacterium. RNAcentral's name for it is "partial 16S ribosomal RNA". It matches the Rfam family "Bacterial small subunit ribosomal RNA", at positions 524 to 776 of the family's 1533-position model. The record is from RNAcentral.
UACGUAGGGUGCAAGCGUUAAUCGGAAUUACUGGGCGUAAAGUGUGCGCAGGCGGUUUUGUAAGUCUGUCGUGAAAGCCCCGGGCUCAACCUGGGAAUUGCGAUGGAGACUGCAAGGCUUGAAUCUGGCAGAGGGGGGGUAGAAAUUCCACGUGUAGCAGUGAAAUGCGUAGAGAUGUGGAGGAACACCGAUGGCGAAGGGCAGCCCCCCCUGGGUCAAGAUUGACGCUCAUGCACGAAAAGCGUGGGGGAGCAAACAGG